RNAcentral lists this ribosomal RNA (253 nucleotides) under uncultured bacterium. RNAcentral describes it as "partial 16S ribosomal RNA". It matches the Rfam family "Bacterial small subunit ribosomal RNA", at positions 524 to 776 of the family's 1533-position model. The record is from RNAcentral.
UACGUAGGUGGCAAGCGUUGUCCGGAUUUACUGGGCGUAAAGAGCGCGCAGGCGGUCGUUCAAGUCGCGUGUGAAAGCCCCCGGCUCAACUGGGGAGGGUCACGCGAUACUGAUCGACUCGAAGGCAGGAGAGGGUAGUGGAAUUCCCGGUGUAGUGGUGAAAUGCGUAGAUAUCGGGAGGAACACCGGUGGCGAAGGCGGCGACCUGGUUCGAUACUGACACUGAGGUGCGAAAGCGUGGGGAGCAAACAGG